GGGCAAGAAAGGCAGGCGGCUGAAAAUAUACGAAAAAGAAAAGAACAGUACGAUGGCUGCUACGAGUUUAUUGCUAACGAUUUUAAGGGUUCAAGAAAAAGAGAAGGCUUAGGAUUGAAGGUUUUAGCAAAAAGUUUAUUGUCGUUAGAAUACGUUUAAAACUCAAUACUUUAACAUGUGUUCUGCUGUGAAUAACUUUGAAUAUGUUUGUGUUUCGUUCUUGACCAUGCUCGGCUAAUUUUCCUUAUUGUUACCCAGGCUAUGAUAAUUGUUAAUUUAUUUAUGGUUUCUUGGUUUGGUUAAUUUAUGUUUUGGCACAAUAUUAUGGUAAAAGUGUUCUAAAUUAGGUUCUAAUGGUUAUGCGUAUUUAAUAAUUGAUGGUUUAUAUUUGUUCCACCUUUCUUGCUUAAAAUUAAUUGCGUAUUAAUUAAAUCUAGGAUUUGGUGAUUUCGUAGACUUUGUGUUUUCGACUAAAUCUUGUGGUUGCUAGACGUAGUACACCCUAGGAACAAACUAAUAAAUUAUUUGGUAAUUAAAUAUUCUACCAUAUUUGAGACCGAGAGGAGAUUAGAUGUCGGGUUGUCUUAAUCAUUAGACGGGUUAGGUGUUAAUUGCACGAGAGUAAAUUGUAACACCCCAAAAAGGGUUAACAUGAAAAUAGGUUAAAUAACUAAAAGAAUUAACUUAGUAAAAAUAUCACAAAAGCUAGAUAAAGGAUGGAAAGUGCCAAAUUAAAAACAUGUAAACUAUAUGGGGGUUAAACAUGGCCAAUGAUAAAAUAAAGGUAUUAGAAGGGGAAAACCCAGAAACACACACAUUGUGCGUGUCUGGGGAUCGAACAAGGCAGAACAAGGGUGAAAACCCUUGUUUAUCAAAUUCAAUCAAUUGGGUAAGAGAUUAGAAGAAAAUCAACUGCAUGAACUCAAAUCUACACUCAUCUAAACUUGAUUUUUAAAGAGGCGCGAAGGAAGAAGGUUCAAGUACUAGGAAAUCGGAAGGCCCGCAAGAUCGAGUGUAUGGAAGUUGAGAAGUAAGUAGUAUGAUCCGUUAUGAACGAAUGAUGUGAAAGGAAGGUUUAUGAACAAGGUUGCAUCAUAACCGAUUUAUCUUAGUUGAACCGGUUAUUGGAAAGUUAAGAAAGAAUGUAAUGAAGCUUUACUCGAUCCGUCAUGUACGGGUUGGGGUGCUUGCGAAAGGAUGUAAGGAUUUUUAUAGUUCGUCAUAAACGAACCGAAUGGGAGUUAUGUUAUGAAUGUUAAUAUCCGUUAUUAACGGCUAUGUAAAGAAUGGAAUGUAACGUUUCUAUCGAGACGGGAAUGUAUUGACCCGUUCAACGGGUAGUAAGCGUAAAGAAAAAGAAUGUUGUAAAGCCUCAAUUUAAUCGGUUCGGCGACUUGGAACGAGCACCCAUAUGUAAUUCGCCUACAAGCGCUUCCGCUACCUUUUGUAACAAAGUCAUGGUCAAAUGUAUUUUGUUGUAGUUAGUUUUAAAUAUUGGUUAAUCUUUGAAGUUUGACUUGUUUGGUCUUUUGAAAUUUCUCUAGAUGUCGGUAGUUAUCUAAAACUAUGUUUUGGAUUUGUAAGUCUUUUGAAAGUGAUGUUAAUUACUUGAAAUUACGUUUGUCAAAACAGGGAUUGUUCAUAUAGCAAAUGGGUCAUGCCGAAUUU
Molecule: long non-coding RNA, 1668 nt
Filed under: Helianthus annuus (common sunflower)
Lineage: Eukaryota; Viridiplantae; Streptophyta; Magnoliopsida; Asterales; Asteraceae
Description: hypothetical non coding rna
Source: RNAcentral